GACGAACGCUGGCGGCGUGCUUAACACAUGCAAGUCGAACGGAAAGGCCCUGCUUUUGUGGGGUGCUCGAGUGGCGAACGGGUGAGUAACACGUGAGUAACCUGCCCUUGACUUUGGGAUAACUUCAGGAAACUGGGGCUAAUACCGGAUAGGAGCUCCUGCUGCAUGGUGGGGGUUGGAAAGUUUCGGCGGUUGGGGAUGGACUCGCGGCUUAUCAGCUUGUUGGUGGGGUAGUGGCUUACCAAGGCUUUGACGGGUAGCCGGCCUGAGAGGGUGACCGGCCACCUUGGUCCUGAGAUACGGCCCAGAGUCCUACAGGGGGCAACAGUGGGGAAUAUUGCACAAUGGGCGGAAGCCUGAUGCAGCAACGUCGCGUGCGGGAUGACGGCCUUCGGGUUGUAAACCGCUUUCGCCUGUGACGAAGCGUGAGUGACGGUAAUGGGUAAAGAAGCACCGGCUAACUACGUG
This 468-nucleotide ribosomal RNA is filed under the name uncultured bacterium. RNAcentral describes it as "partial 16S ribosomal RNA". It matches the Rfam family "Bacterial small subunit ribosomal RNA", at positions 28 to 507 of the family's 1533-position model. The record is from RNAcentral.